GGAAUCCCAGGGCUCCCAGUAACCCCAGUAAAUCCAAACUGGGAAUCCCAGUUAAACCAGUAACCCCAAAUUUGGGAUCCCAGUGAAACCAGUGCUCCCAGUAAAUCCAAACUGGGAAUUCCAGUGACCCCAGGGACCCCAAACUGGUCCAAACAGGGCCCGAACUGGUUCAGUCUGGUCACAAACCCAGCCUAAACUGGUCUGAACUGGUCCAAACCGGCCUAAACUGGUCCGAACUGGUCUGAACUGGUCCGAACUGGUCCCAAACCGAGCCCGAACCGGUCCGGAACCGCCGCUUGGCCCCGCCCCCUCUCUGACCCCACCCCUCAACCAAUCAGCGCGGGGAGAGAGCGGCUCCGACCAAUCAGCGGCGAGAAUCCGCCGAGGGGGCGGGGCCGGGCGGCUCCGGCCAAUCAGAGCGGAGGGAACGGCGGGGAUCACGUGGGCGCGCGGUCACGUGGGGCGGGGCGCGGUCACGUGAGGGGCCCGGCGGUCACGUGGGCGGCGCGCGG
RNAcentral lists this long non-coding RNA (512 nucleotides) under Parus major (Great Tit). RNAcentral describes it as "lncRNA (ENSPMJG00000002163.1)". Lineage: Eukaryota; Metazoa; Chordata; Aves; Passeriformes; Paridae. The record is from RNAcentral.